This 378-nucleotide long non-coding RNA is filed under the name Arabidopsis lyrata. Its description in RNAcentral is "long non-coding RNA (ALYR_LNC000110)". Lineage: Eukaryota; Viridiplantae; Streptophyta; Magnoliopsida; Brassicales; Brassicaceae. The record is from RNAcentral.
AUAUAUUAGAUAAUAUUAAAUUAAAAUCGGGGACAAGUUCAUAUGGAAUGAGUACUAUAAUUAGAUCGGGGACAAAUUCAGAUCGAAUGAGUAAUAUAAUUAUAUCGGGGACAAGUUCAUAUGGAAUGAGUAAUAUAAUUAAUUAGAUCGGGAACAAGUUCAGAUCGAAUGAGUAAUAUAAUUAUAUCGGGGACAAGCUCAUAUGGAAUGAGUAAUAUAAUUAGAUCGGGGACAAGUUCAUAUCGAAUAAGUAAUAUAAUUAGAUCAAAGACAAGUUCAUAUCGAAUGAGUAAUAAAAGUAGAUCAUGGACAAGUUCAGAUCGAAUGAGUAAUAUAAUUCUAUCGGCGACACGUUCAUAUGGAAUGAGUAAUAUAAUU